UUUUUAGGGUAAGUAUGCCCCAUGCAACUUUUGGGAUAUAUUUAUACUAAAA
This is a non-coding RNA of Canis lupus familiaris (dog), 52 nucleotides long. The record is from Rfam. Lineage: Eukaryota; Metazoa; Chordata; Mammalia; Carnivora; Canidae.